AAGCAGCCGCGGUAAUUCCAGCUCCAAUAGCGUAUAUUAAAGUUGUUGCAGUUAAAAAGCUCGUAGUUGAACUUCGGGAUCAAGGGAUCGGUCAUGCCUUGGUAUGUACUGGUCUUAUUGGUUCUCACCUUCUAAAGAACCAUAAUGUCAUUCAUUUGAUGUUAUGGGGAAUUAGGACUGUUACCUUGAAAAAAUUAGAGUGUUUAAAGCAGGCUUACGCUUGAAUACAUUAGCAUGGAAUAAUGAAAUAGGACAUCCGAUUCUAUUUUGUUGGUUUCUAGGAUCGAUGUAAUGAUUAAUAGGGAUAGGUUGGGGGCAUUAGUAUUCAAUUGUCAGAGGUGAAAUUCUUGGAUUUAUUGAAGACUAACUACUGCGAGAGCAUUUGCCAAGGUAUGUUUCAUUAAUCAAGAACGAAGUUAGGGAUCGAAGACGAUCAGAUACCGUCGUAGUCUUAACCAUAAACUAUCGCCGACUAGGGAUCGGAACGUAAGUUUAAUUUUAAAUGACUCGUUAGGCCGUCCGUUAACCGGG
RNAcentral lists this ribosomal RNA (531 nucleotides) under uncultured Septoglomus. Its description in RNAcentral is "SSU rRNA". It matches the Rfam family "Eukaryotic small subunit ribosomal RNA", at positions 568 to 1094 of the family's 1831-position model. Lineage: Eukaryota; Fungi; Glomeromycota; Glomeromycetes; Glomerales; Glomeraceae. The record is from RNAcentral.